This 465-nucleotide ribosomal RNA is filed under the name uncultured Klebsiella sp. Its description in RNAcentral is "bacterial SSU rRNA". It matches the Rfam family "Bacterial small subunit ribosomal RNA", at positions 338 to 795 of the family's 1533-position model. Lineage: Bacteria; Pseudomonadati; Pseudomonadota; Gammaproteobacteria; Enterobacterales; Enterobacteriaceae. The record is from RNAcentral.
CCUACGGGAGGCAGCAGUGGGGAAUAUUGCACAAUGGGCGCAAGCCUGAUGCAGCCAUGCCGCGUGUGUGAAGAAGGCCUUCGGGUUGUAAAGCACUCUCAGCGGGGAGGAAGGCGUUAAGGUUAAUAACCUUGUCGAUUGACGUUACCCGCAGAAGAAGCACCGGCUAACUCCGUGCCAGCAGCCGCGGUAAUACGGAGGGUGCAAGCGUUAAUCGGAAUUACUGGGCGUAAAGCGCACGCAGGCGGUCUGUCAAGUCGGAUGUGAAAUCCCCGGGCUCAACCUGGGAACUGCAUUCGAAACUGGCAGGCUAGAGUCUUGUAGAGGGGGGUAGAAUUCCAGGUGUAGCGGUGAAAUGCGUAGAGAUCUGGAGGAAUACCGGUGGCGAAGGCGGCCCCCUGGACAAAGACUGACGCUCAGGCGCGAAAGCGUGGGGAGCAAACAGGAUUAGAUACCCGUGUAGUC